AUUGAACGCUGGCGGCAUGCUUUACACAUGCAAGUCGAACGGUAACAGGGUGCUUGCACCGCUGACGAGUGGCGAACGGGUGAGUAAUGCGUCGGAACGUGCCGAGUAGUGGGGGAUAACGCAGCGAAAGUUGUGCUAAUACCGCAUACGUACUGAGGUAGAAAGUGGGGGACCUUCGGGCCUCACGCUAUUCGAGCGGCCGACGUCUGAUUAGCUAGUAGGUGAGGUAAAGGCUCACCUAGGCGACGAUCAGUAGCGGGUCUGAGAGGAUGAUCGGCCACACUUGGACUGAGACACGGCCCAGACUCCUACGGGAGGCAGCAGUGGGGAAUUGUGGACAAUGGGCGAAAGCCUGAUCCAGCCAUGCCGCGUGUCUGAAGAAGGCCUUCGGGUUGUAAAGGACUUUUGUCAGGGAGGAAAUCCCUAGUGCUAAUAACACUGGGGGAUGACAGUACCUGAAGAAUAAGCACCGGCUAACUACGUGCCAGCCGCCGCCGUAA
This 500-nucleotide ribosomal RNA is filed under the name uncultured bacterium. RNAcentral describes it as "partial 16S ribosomal RNA". It matches the Rfam family "Bacterial small subunit ribosomal RNA", at positions 30 to 523 of the family's 1533-position model. The record is from RNAcentral.